RNAcentral lists this ribosomal RNA (497 nucleotides) under uncultured bacterium. RNAcentral's name for it is "partial 16S ribosomal RNA". It matches the Rfam family "Bacterial small subunit ribosomal RNA", at positions 28 to 507 of the family's 1533-position model. The record is from RNAcentral.
GAUGAACGCUGGCUGCGUGCCUAAUACAUGCAAGUCGAGCGAACGGACGAGAAGCUUGCUUUUCUGAUGUUAUCGGCGGACGGGUGAGUAACACGUGGCUAACCUACCUAUAAGACUUUGAUAACUUCGGGAAACCGUAGCUAAUACCGGAUAAUAUUUUGAACCGCAUGGUUCAAAAGUGAAAGACGGUCUUGCUUUCACUUAUAGAUGGAUCCGCGCUGCAUUAGCUAUUGGGUAAGGUAACGGCUUACCAAGGCGACGAUGCAUAGCCGACCUGAGAGGGUGAUCGGCCACACUGGAACUGAGACACGGUCCAGACUCCUACGAGAGGCAGCAGUAGGGAAUCUUCCGCAAAGGGCGAAAGCCUGAAGAAGCAACGCCGCGUGAGUGAUGAAGGUCUGCGGAUCGUAAAACUCUGUUAUUAGGGAAGAACAUAUGUGUAAGUAACUGUGCACAUCUUGACGGUACCUAAUCAGAAAGCCACGGCUAACUACGUG